Molecule: ribosomal RNA, 344 nt
Filed under: uncultured bacterium
Lineage: Bacteria
Description: bacterial SSU rRNA
Rfam family: Bacterial small subunit ribosomal RNA
Source: RNAcentral
GACGAACGCUGGCGGCGUGCUUAACACAUGCAAGUCACGGGUGUCCCGCAAGGGAUAACCGGCGAACGGGUGCGUAACACGUGAACAACCUGCCCUCGUGUGGGGGAUAGCCAUGCUAACGCGUGGGUAAUACCGCAUACGGUCCUUUGGGGGAGGUCCCUGGGGGAAGGAAAGCUCCGGCGCACGGGGAGGGGUUCGCGGCCUAUCAGCUUGUUGGUGGGGUAAUGGCCUACCAAGGCAACGACGGGUAGCUGGCUGAGAGGAUGUCCAGCCACACUGGGACUGAGACACGGCCCAGACUCCUACGGGAGGCAGCAGUUAGGAAUCUUGCGCAAUGGGCGAAA